RNAcentral lists this ribosomal RNA (254 nucleotides) under uncultured bacterium. Its description in RNAcentral is "partial 16S ribosomal RNA". It matches the Rfam family "Bacterial small subunit ribosomal RNA", at positions 524 to 776 of the family's 1533-position model. The record is from RNAcentral.
GACGUAGGGCGCGAGCGUUGUCCGGAUUUAUUGGGCGUAAAGAGCUCGUAGGCGGUUUGUCGCGUCGACUGUGAAAACCCGCGGCUCAACCGUGUGGUCUGCAGUCGAUACGGGCAGGCUAGAGUUCGGUAGGGGAGACUGGAAUUCCUGGUGUAGCGGUGAAAUGCGCAGAUAUCAGGAGGAACACCGGUGGCGAAGGCGGGUCUCUGGGCCGAUACUGACGCUGAGGAGCGAAAGCGUGGGGAGCGAACAGG